GCACGGUUAGCCAAGCGGCCCAAGCGGCGGUCUGCAAAACCGCAGAGACCGGUUCGACUCCGGUACCGUGCU
Molecule: transfer RNA, 72 nt
Filed under: Acidithiobacillus ferrooxidans ATCC 23270
Lineage: Bacteria; Pseudomonadati; Pseudomonadota; Acidithiobacillia; Acidithiobacillales; Acidithiobacillaceae
Rfam family: tRNA
About the family: Transfer RNA (tRNA) molecules are approximately 80 nucleotides in length. Their secondary structure includes four short double-helical elements and three loops (D, anti-codon, and T loops).
Source: Rfam by way of RNAcentral